GUGAGUGUCCUGAGUGGGGGUCAAGAUUUGUUUGAGUGUAUGAUCUAAUCUGAAUACACACGUGUGUGUGCAUGUGUGUAUUUUUCUCCCUGUUGGAUUGCUCAGCCUCCACAGCCUGUUCUUCUCCACUGUGAUACACCAGGUGUCCUUCAGCAGGUGUAGUGAAACAAAGCAGAGGCUUUGACGUCACCCACGCUGGCCCUCGUGUGACUCACGGCCCAGCCCUGAGCCAGAAUCUGCUCCUGUUAUUACGGGUGAUAAUUAUGAUUUGGCAGAAUGUAUCCGAAUGUCAUACCACUCCAGGUAGAUUAGAGUCUCUGGAGGGAGGGGCUAG
This 334-nucleotide long non-coding RNA is filed under the name Homo sapiens (human). RNAcentral's name for it is "HSALNT0137565". The record is from RNAcentral. Lineage: Eukaryota; Metazoa; Chordata; Mammalia; Primates; Hominidae.